Molecule: ribosomal RNA, 497 nt
Filed under: uncultured bacterium
Lineage: Bacteria
Description: partial 16S ribosomal RNA
Rfam family: Bacterial small subunit ribosomal RNA
Source: RNAcentral
GAUGAACGCUGGCGGCGUGCCUAAUACAUGCAAGUCGAGCGAACAGAUAAGGAGCUUGCUCCUUUGACGUUAGCGGCGGACGGGUGGGUAACACGUGGGUAACCUACCUAUAAGACUGGAAUAACUCCGGGAAACCGGGGCUAAUGCCGGAUAACAUUUAGAACCGCAUGGUUCUAAAGUGAAAGAUGGUUUUGCUAUCACUUAUAGAUGGACCCGCGCCGUAUUAGCUAGUUGGUAAGGUAACGGCUUACCAAGGCAACGAUACGUAGCCGACCUGAGAGGGUGAUCGGCCACACGGGAACUGAGAGACGGUCCAGACUCCUACGGGAGGCAGCAGUAGGGAAUCUUCCGCAAUGCGCGAAAGCCUGACGGAGCAACGCCGCGUGAGUGAUGAAGGUCUUCGGAUCGUAAAACUCUGUUAUUAGGGAAGAACAAAUGUGUAAGUAACUGUGCACGUCUUGACGGUACCUAAUCAGAAAGCCAGGGCUAACUACGUG